AGGGAAUAUUGCGCAAUGGGCGAAAGCCUGACGCAGCGACACCGUGUGAAGGAUGAAGGUCUUCGGAUCGUAAACUUCUGUCAAUUGGGGAAGAAGGUAAUAAGGUUAAUAGCCUUUAUUACUGACGGUACUCAAUAAGGAAGUCUCGGCUAACUCCGUGCCAGCAGCCGCGGUAAGACGGAGGAGGCAAGCGUUGUCCGGAAUCAUUGGGCGUAAAGAGCGCGUAGGCGGUUUUUCAAGUCGUAUGUGAAAACUUCAGGCUUAACCUGAUGAUUGCAUAUGAAACUGGAUAACUUGAGUACAGCAGAGGAAAGUGGAAUUCCUGGUGUAGCGGUGAAAUGUGCAGAUAUCAGGAAGAACACCAGUGGCGAAGGCGGCUUUCUGGGCUGUUACUGACGCUGAGGCGCGAAAGCUAGGGGAGCGAACAG
This 428-nucleotide ribosomal RNA is filed under the name uncultured bacterium. RNAcentral's name for it is "bacterial SSU rRNA". It matches the Rfam family "Bacterial small subunit ribosomal RNA", at positions 356 to 775 of the family's 1533-position model. The record is from RNAcentral.